This 1653-nucleotide long non-coding RNA is filed under the name Coturnix japonica (Japanese quail). Its description in RNAcentral is "lncRNA (ENSCJPG00005020424.1)". The record is from RNAcentral. Lineage: Eukaryota; Metazoa; Chordata; Aves; Galliformes; Phasianidae.
AUGAUCGAACAGGAUCAGCCCCCCGCCUCCCCCACAGCCUCCUCCAGCCCCAUGGGUCACGCUCCCUCCCGCUGUCGGCUCCGCUCUUCACCUCCCCUGGCUCGGCCUCCAUCCCCUCACACUGAUGGAGCUGGGCCUGCAGAGCUCUCCCGUGCGAGGGCCGAUCCCCCCGCAGUCCCCCAGGGGAGCGCUGGGUGUUGUAGUCUCCACCCGCCGCUCCUCCGCUCAGCGCCAGCGGGCGGUGGGUACCGCGGGACUACACUUCCCGUCGUGCCAUGCGGCAGGCCGCCCCCACCCCCGGCCCACGGCCGCCCCCAGCGCAGCGGCACGGGCAGCGCCGCCGGGCCGGAUGUUGUUGGGCCGCAGCGCCCCGCGGCCCCGCCAUUACCUGGGAGGAGCGGGGAAGCUCCAUCAGAGCCUGAACCUCCAGACAGAGUUUGUGAUGGAAUAGCAACAUAGAAGGAUGCAGUCAACGUCUUUCACACAAGACAAUGAAUUCUGUGGGGUCCCAUUUUUCAGUGAGGCUCUAGGCUUUGCAGGAUGCAUGUUCUCAGAUUACGGUCAGGUGUGGAGCAAAGUGUUCGUCCCACUGACAUCCAUGGCAAAAUUCCCAUUGAUCCGAAUAACACUGAAAUCAUGUGCUAGCAUUUCUAACUGCUGCCUGCCAGAAUCGACUUCAGACCUGCACAUCCUGCCUUAUGCGUCACUAUUAGUAAUGAAGGUUCUGCAGCCCACAUCGUGUCUGCCGUUAUGUUCUCAAGAAGUGAUCAAGACAAGUCUAAAUGAAGAAUGAGAGACCCCAGCAACGGGAGGGGUCGUUGCACAGUCAGUGUACUUGUUAACAGUCUCCUUGCAGUUACUGCAGAUGAAUCCAUCUGCCUUUUAUGCACACACUCCGUGCUGACGAAAUGAGCCAUAUGAGAGCUGUUUGAGUCAGCUUGCACUGACGUGGAUGCGUGCUGUCCUCGCUGGCAAGUGUCCCAGGUUACAGGUGUACUGCCAAGACCUCUGCAAAGCCCGUGUCAUGUCCCUGCUGUCACAUUUGACCUUUUCUGAUUAAAAGACAGUCUAACAUUUUUGAGCAAAUUGAGAGAUCUCAUCCAGCUUUGUAAGUGCCUAGUUAAGACAGUGCAUUCGGCUCUAUGGCACCACGUGCAGCUAUAAACAAGCGCUGUCUUGAGAAAAUAGUCUCAAAGAAUAAUCUUUCCACUAAAACACUCAUGAAGUACGCACUAUCAUCAGAAGCUGUAUGCUAUAAGAGAAAUAAGCAAUUUAAAGUACAGAUUAUAAGGGAACACAAAGGGAGAAAACGCCUGUGUAUGCGGUGUACAGAGGUCCUCUUUUUGCUGUUGAGGAUGGCUGAAUGCGGUCCUGGUAAGGAAAAAAGGAUCAUUCUCUCUCCCUUUAUUGUCCACUUGUUCCAUACUGUAGGAGUCUUCUCAAGCUUACUUGAAGGUAUGGCCACCCCGUCCUGGUAUAUUCUUGAUAAUUUCUAUGUAAAUGCUCAGUGAAUACUCUGGCUGUUGUGCUAGAUGGAGAGAGGGGAGCUGUUGCUCAUCUGGCAUUUGUUAUCUACAGCUGUCUUUCCCUCUUUCAUAGUUCUUUCAGGUUAUAGAUAAGCUAGAGGAAAAUAAAAGGAAGUUUUUCAUACCA